Molecule: unclassified non-coding RNA, 227 nt
Filed under: plant metagenome
Description: partial contains 5.8S ribosomal RNA, internal transcribed spacer 2, and large subunit ribosomal RNA
Source: RNAcentral
UGCCAAGGAUGGUGAGGAGCAGAAAUAUGACUGCGUCCAAGGGCGAACCGUCGGCAGAAGAACCAAGCAAUCCACCGGCAAAUCCAAAGACGUCCAGCCACUGCGCCGGAAAUCUGGAUGAGGCAAAAAACAUCCAGAUGAUCGGCAGCCAAAGCACCCCUGCGUCGGCUCGCGGAUGCAGCUUCUGCUCGCGUACGAGCAGCCAGAUGCAAAACGACAGAGUGAUG